RNAcentral lists this ribosomal RNA (253 nucleotides) under uncultured bacterium. RNAcentral's name for it is "partial 16S ribosomal RNA". It matches the Rfam family "Bacterial small subunit ribosomal RNA", at positions 524 to 776 of the family's 1533-position model. The record is from RNAcentral.
GACAGAGGGGGCAAGCGUUGCUCGGAAUCACUGGGCGUAAAGGGCGCGUAGGCGGGAUGGCAAGUCGGUCGUGAAAUCCCUGGGCUCAACUCAGGGGGGUCGGCCGAUACUGCCAUUCUUGAGGGAUGCAGAGGAGACUGGAAUUCCCGGUGUAGCAGUGAAAUGCGUAGAGAUCGUAAGGAAGACCAGUGGCGAAGGCGGGUCUCUGGGCAGUUACUGACACUGAGGCACGAAGGCCAGGGGAGCAAACGGG